This 275-nucleotide long non-coding RNA is filed under the name Mytilus galloprovincialis (Mediterranean mussel). The record is from RNAcentral. Lineage: Eukaryota; Metazoa; Mollusca; Bivalvia; Mytilida; Mytilidae.
UGCCUGUCCCAAGUCAGGAGCCUGUAAUUAAGUGGUUGUCGUUUGUUGCUGUGUUACAUAUUUGUUUUUCGUUCAUUUAUUUGUACAUUAAUUUGGCCGUUAGUUUUCUCGUUUGAAUUGUUUUACAUUUGUUAUUUCGGGGCCUUUUAUAGCUGACUAUGCGGUAUGGGCUUUGCUCAUUGUUGAAGGCCGUACGGUGACCUAUAGUUGUUCAUUUCUGUGUCAUUUAAUUUGGUCUCUUGUUUAGAGUUGUCUCAUUGGCAAUUACACCAAAU